Molecule: ribosomal RNA, 440 nt
Filed under: uncultured bacterium
Lineage: Bacteria
Description: partial 16S ribosomal RNA
Rfam family: Bacterial small subunit ribosomal RNA
Source: RNAcentral
CCUACGGGUGGCAGCAGUGGGGAAUAUUGCACAAUGGGGGAAACCCUGAUGCAGCGACGCCGCGUGAGUGAAGAAGUAUUUCGGUACGUAAAGCUCUAUCAGCAGGGAAGAAAAUGACGGUACCUGACUAAGAAGCCCCGGCUAACUACGUGCCAGCAGCCGCGGUAAUAUGUAGGGGGCAAGCGUUAGCCGGAAUUACUGGGGGUAAAGGGAGCGUAGACGGCAGCGCAAGUCUGGAGUGAAAUCCCAUGGCUUAACCAUGGAACUGCUUUGGAAACUGUGCAGCUAGAGUGCAGGAGAGGUAAGCAGAAUUCCUAGUGUAGCGGUGAAAUGCGUAGAUAUUAGGAGGAACACCAGUGGCGAAGGCGGCUUACUGGACUGUAACUGACGUUGAGGCUCGAAAGCGUGGGGAGCAAACAGGAUUAGAUACCCCGGUAGUC